AAUAGAUACCCAGGUAGUCCACGCCGUAAACGGUGGGCACUAGGUGUGGGGACCAUUCCACGGUCUCUGCGCCGCAGCUAACGCAUUAAGUGCCCCGCCUGGGGAGUACGGCCGCAAGGCUAAAACUCAAAGGAAUUGACGGGGGGCCCGCACAGGCGGCGGAGCAUGCGGCUUAAUUCGAAGCAACGCGAAGAGCCUUACCUAGGCUUGACAUGCAGGGAAAUCUGGCAGAGAUGCCAGGUCCUUCGGGGCCGUUGCACAGGUGGUGCAUGGCUGUCGUCAGCUCGUGUCGUGAGAUGUUGGGUUAAGUCCCGCAACGAGCGCAACCCUCGUUCUAUGUUGCCAGCGGUUCGGCCGGGGACUCAUAGAAGACUGCCGGGGUCAACUCGGAGGAAGGUGGGGAUGACGUCAAGUCAUCAUGCCCCUUAUGUCUAGGGCUGCACGCAUGCUACAAUGGUCGGUACAAAGGGCUGCAAUACCGCAAGGUGGAGCGAAUCCCAAAAACGCCGGCCGUCAGUUCGGAUUGGGGU
RNAcentral lists this ribosomal RNA (530 nucleotides) under uncultured bacterium. RNAcentral's name for it is "bacterial SSU rRNA". It matches the Rfam family "Bacterial small subunit ribosomal RNA", at positions 777 to 1304 of the family's 1533-position model. The record is from RNAcentral.